Non-coding RNA from Solanum lycopersicum (tomato), 3504 nucleotides. Lineage: Eukaryota; Viridiplantae; Streptophyta; Magnoliopsida; Solanales; Solanaceae. The record is from RefSeq and is a predicted model, not a curated record.
GGCCACUUCAAAAAUUUAUGUGUUGUCCAUGUAUGUAAACGACAAGAUUCUUUUGCUAUGAAGAUAGAAAAACAGAUAUAUCAUACUAAGAUGCACGAUAUCAUAAUAAAGUGGUUAAUGAAACAAUGAUACAUUGCUCAUUUUUUACUAGUGUUGUUCUUAAAGGCUCGUUUAAGCACGCUUAAGCCCUGGAACUUGAUGAAAACCAGCUUCAUCUGGCUUAAUUGGCCCUUUAGUGUAGGUGUCAAAGUGCUAAGGUGUCUGCACUCCAAAAACAGGUUUAGUUUUUUUAGGUUAGAAUGAACUUUUUAAAGUUAACUUGUUUCUAAAAAUAAAUUAAGUAACCCUCCUUAUUUUAAACAUCAACAUCAGGAUCUGAGAUCAUGUGGUCCCCUUAUAUGAUCAUGAAUCCUACUAGAAUUUGUUCAUUUGAUAUGUCAUUUGAGUGUCUUGUAUUUAGGCAUAUUACAGUCCUUAUUUGUAUGAGUCCAACUUGUAUAUCUUCAGUGAAUUACAUGAUAAAGAAGGGGUUUAAUUUUCAUAGUACUAUUUCAUGAAUCAUAUCUAUCGAGACGUCACGCUACAUUUGUCUAUACAUGUUUUAGGUUAGUAUAUGGAUUUUAAAUAGUCCUUCCUAUUUACAAUGAGGACUCUCGCAAAUCCCUAUAUGAAAUUCAAAGAUUAACUGAUCUAUCAGGUGCACCUAUCAUUCGAGGACGAAUGAUCAUAAGAGGGGGAGGAUGAACACCCCGUAUUUUACGUGUACUGGUUUUAUUUAUAUAACGCAUUAAACUGCCUUGUGGUAUGGUUAUGGAUUCGAUUUCCUAUGCGACUAGUGGCAAUAGAAUAGGUUUAAGUGAACUUUCCAUAGAUUUUAAUGCGACCCAAUUAAGUUGAUAUCGAUGGAAGUAUUUAAACUUUAGAUCAUAAGGUGGUAUUUGAGUCUAAAGUAUAAAGUGACAUAGUGUAUAUAAGUUCUAAGUUAUAUUAAAGUUAUUAAGGUCUCGAAAUGGAAUAAAACAUUGAGGUGCUUGCUUGACUUCACUUCUAGUAGGUGAUAGUAGGUGCGUCACCUACUUUGACUUAUUGACCAACCAAAGGACCAAGUAGGUGCAUCACCUACUUGACUUAUUGACCAACCAAAGGACCAAGUAGGUGCAUCACCUACUAAGACUCUUUUGACCAUGUUAUUGGGCCAAGUACACUACCUAUUUGCAUUAAUUUAGCCCAAGUUGAACAGAAGAAUAAGGGGAAAUGGACAGCCAAGGCCCAAUCUUCCCAAGCCCACAAGAAAUAAUUUUAAUGGAAAACUAGGUGAAUCACCUACUUAAAUGUGUGGCCCAAAUUAUAGACAGUUGUUGGCUGCAAAUGAAGUACAAGAAAGGUGGCAAAAGGGCCAAUGUUCUUAAGACCAAACAGUCCAAAUGAAAAGUCCAAGUAGGUGGGUCACCUACUUGACAAAUUAUGGCCCUAAAUGAGUGAGAAAGUCGGCCAAAGCAGGGUGCCUUUAAAAGAGAUUGAUAUCAGCUUUUUCCAACCAUUUUUACUUUGACAAAAAAUCUGAUUACUAGAGCUUUAUCUCUUCUCUCUCUUAGAUUCAUACAACAACCAUUAAAUACCAUUAGGUUCUUGAAUAAUAGGUAUUUUCAAGCUAUUGAAAGGUGUAAUUUAAGACUAGUUAAGGAGGACAACUUUUACAUUGAAGAAUCCAAGUUUUAGCAAGCCGUAGUUAUGUCCAGCAAGAUCAGUGAUCUGAAGAGAAGGAGCUUAAGUCAAUACUUUUUGAAUUGUAUAGCAAGGUAUGUAAGGCUAUUUGAUUUCUUAUUUCUUUGGCAUGAAUCCAAAACUUGCAUUACAAAAAGUAAGCUUUCUAAGUGCCCUUGGUAGUGACUGAUCCAUAGUUGCAGUUCCUACUCUAAUAUGAGUUUGUUACUAAAUGUGCGUGUUUACUCUAUCAAGUGUUAGCAUGCAAGGUUUAAACUUGUUUCAUUGUCAAAUUACCCAUGGCAUGUAUCCCCGUUACAUAAGUCAAAGUGAUCGUAGACUACACAUGGUACAAUCUGCCUAUAUCAUGCCAACUUGCUUCCAUUGUUUAUAGAUAUGUCAUCUUGUCACAUGUUCAUAUGUUCCCUUCUUUGUUAUUACUCACAUUGUGUUAGACUAUAAUGUUACCUCACAGGAUCACUACUAGCUCAAUUGUACGUUUAUAUGUACUUACUUGGAAUAUGUCUCCGUCCUUAAGUUGAAUCUGCCCACAUUCCCCCUUGGUUCCACAUUCAUGAACACCUUGUAUUUGUAUCAUAUGAAGUUCAAAUCUCUUGGUUGAAUGUCAAAUUGUCUUCACUAGAUGUGCUUUGAUUUGAGAUAUCAAAAUGCUUACCGAGUCAUAUAGGCUCCUAAGUACUACGUUCAAGUCACAUUUGCUUCCCAUGUCAUUAUUAAUAUCGUAAGUUCAUAUUCAUAUGUCUUCUACUACUGGUCUGUAGAUCCAAAUCUAAACCAGGAUUAUGACCACCAAAACAACAAUCACAAACAAGUUAUGAACAUCAAAAUAACAAUAUCAAAAGAGUUACGAUUAUCUAAAGAACAAUCCCAAAAGAGUUAUGAACUGAUAAACAACAAUCUCAAAGAUGAAAGAAUCUAAGUGAAGUAAUCAAUAUGAUUAUGAGUGACAGCUCAGGGGCGAAAGCUUAGCAUGGGCCGAUCCCGAUUGGUAUAACAGGGUGGCAACCCAGGGGCAAAAACCUAGCAUGGGCCGAUCCCAAUUGGUAUGGAAGGGUGACAGCUCAGGGGGCGCAAGCCUAGCAUGGGUCAUCCUCUUCUACCGUGAUCAGCUGGUCAUUUGUAUCAUAUGUUGUAUAAAGAUUAUAAAAAGUACAGAAAUUUAAAGAAAAGAAUGUAACAUGCACGAUUCCACAAGUACAAAGCAAAGGUGGUCUCUAAUCCUUAUCUAUUGGUAUUUGGUUUCACUUGAGCUCAUGUUAAUUAUGCCUUACAUAUUCAGUACAUUCUUUCGAACUGACGUCCCUUAUUGGGGACGUUGCAUUUCAUGUUGCAGGUACAAGUACUCAACUAGUGGAUCUUUCCAAUAGAAGCACAUUAUACUCAGCGGAUGUUGGUGAGCUCCAGGUCGAUUCGGGGCUUUGCCGAGUCUUUACUAUGCGUAUUUUCAUAUGGUACCAUCAUGGAUUCCAGAAGAGGCUUUGUAGACAUUGUAAAGCUACCAUCUGUAUUCAUAGUUUCACUUAUCACAUAUAGCGGUUCAGCUAGUCAAAAUGUGUUGCAUAUGAAGCUUCUCAUCAGUAAUCUGCAUAGUAGUGUACUUUCUCAUCAUAGAUUACUUGUAAAGCAUGUGUUCAUAAGGUAUUAUUCCGCCUCACCUAGGGUUGAGGUGUGAAAAAAGUGUUGGAAAGAGUUUUCAAAAGCGGAAUGCACAAAAGUGCCAAAAUAUAUUUAAGUUUAAAGCACAAGGGCAAUUAAAGCACGAGCUUUAGCGAAGAAAAA